This is a long non-coding RNA of Myotis davidii, 559 nucleotides long. RefSeq lists it as uncharacterized. The record is from RefSeq and is a predicted model, not a curated record. The transcript is spliced from 3 exons. NCBI's taxonomy places the organism in Eukaryota, Metazoa, Chordata, Mammalia, Chiroptera, Vespertilionidae.
UGUGUUCUGAAGAACUAUCAGUCAGGGCAGGGCUUAGGCUCCCACAAUCCUUAGUCCCACCCUUAGCCUUGCAUUUCAGCUCAGUGGGCAGAAGGGAAUACCUUUCAGCUGUUCUCAGCUCUGCUGCUGCGUUUGUACCACAGGCUUCCAACAGCACCAUGAAGUUGGUGGGCUUCCUUCUCCUUGUGGCCAUCAUCACCCUCAGCGCAGAGGUACAGGAGCUUCAGGCUUCGGUGGUACCCUUGAAACUGUUGGGCACCUGCGUUGAGCUCUGCAGCGGUGACUGGGACUGUGACCUAGGGGAGCACUGCGUCAGCAAUGGGUGUGGCCACAUCUGUGCUACAGACUAAGGACAGAUGAAGACUUAUCUUAAGGGUCAUCCUUCUCUGAUAAUUGAUCACCUCGCCCUAGAAUUCCUAUCUUCAAACAUGUGGCUGUUUGGAGCUCCUUGCACAGGAAGACAGAUGAAAAUGGGGGCCUGUGGAUGAAGAUUAUAAGGGAUGUGGUGGAGAAGGAAAAAAAAUCUGUUCCUCUUAAUAAAUCAGUAUUGUAAAAAAAA